GGCGAAUUGCGUGGCAGUGGGCUGGGUAAGACGGAGCGGGUGAGCGUUGGUUGGGAUUACUGUGCGUAAAGUGGGCGUGGGGGGCGAUCCAAGUCAGGCGUGAAAGCCCCGGGGUCAACCUGGGAAUGGCGCUGGGGACUGGGGGGCUGGAGGUCGUGAGAGGAGCGUGGAAUUCCCAGUGUAGAGGUGAAAUUCGUAGAUAUUGGGAAGAACACCGGUGGCGAAGGCGGCGCUCUGGACCGACACUGACGCUGAGGCGCGAAAGCGUGGGGAGCAAACAGGAUUAGAUACCCUGGUAUC
This 300-nucleotide ribosomal RNA is filed under the name uncultured Pyrobaculum sp. RNAcentral describes it as "bacterial SSU rRNA". It matches the Rfam family "Bacterial small subunit ribosomal RNA", at positions 495 to 794 of the family's 1533-position model. Lineage: Archaea; Thermoproteati; Thermoproteota; Thermoprotei; Thermoproteales; Thermoproteaceae. The record is from RNAcentral.